CUUUUUAUUUUCUUCUUCUUCUUCGUCGAUUAACGGGCAGCAAUUUCAACGAAUAAACUUUUCUUCUUCUGGGAUUUCUAAGAGGUUUUUGCCAGCUAAGUUGUUCUCACAAUCUCGAAAGAAUUCAUACCACGGUGUCGUUCUCAUGCAAGAUGGUGCAGUGGCCAUUCCAGUAAACCCAUUAGAAAAUGAGACCUCAUUCAAGAAAGUGAAAGAUGGGUUGUUGUCUUCAAUAACAUCUGCUAAGGAGUUAAAAGAAACAGCUGGUUUUGAUAUGAAUAAAAAUGAAUCAACUGUCAGUAUCACUGUGGUUGGAGCCUCUGGGGACCUUGCCAAGAAAAAGAUAUUUCCUGCGCUUUUUGCACUUUACUACGAGGAUUGUCUUCCGAAGCACUUCACUGUGUUUGGUUAUGCUCGGAGUAAGAUGACUGACGCUGAACUUAGAAACAUGGUUAGCAAGACUUUGACUUGCAGAAUUGAUAAGAGGGAGAACUGUAGUGAAAAGAUGGACCAGUUUCUUAAGAGAUGUUUCUACCAUUCUGGUCAGUAUGAUUCUCAGGAAAAUUUUACAGAACUAGACAAGAAGCUGAAAGAACAUGAGGGUGGGAGACUUUCCAAUCGCCUCUUUUAUCUAUCGAUCCCUCCAAAUAUUUUUAUUGAUGCAGUCAAAUGUGCAAGCACGUCAGCUUCAUCCGCUAAUGGCUGGACCAGGGUCAUUGUUGAGAAACCCUUUGGCCGAGAUUCAGAAUCCUCGGCUGCUUUAACAAAAUCGCUGAAGCAAUACCUAGAUGAAGAACAAAUAUUUAGGAUAGACCAUUAUUUAGGAAAAGAGCUGGUGGAAAACCUAUCUGUUCUCCGCUUCUCCAAUCUCAUUUUUGAACCAUUGUGGUCAAGGCAGUAUAUAAGGAAUGUACAGUUAAUAUUCUCUGAAGAUUUUGGCACUGAAGGACGUGGAGGGUACUUUGACCAUUAUGGGAUAAUAAGAGAUAUAAUGCAGAACCAUCUGCUUCAAAUACUUGCCCUUUUUGCCAUGGAAACCCCUGUCAGUUUGGAUGCAGAAGAUAUCAGAAAUGAAAAGGUCAAAGUUCUACGAUCGAUGAGGCCUAUACGACUUGAAGAUGUGGUCAUUGGCCAGUACAAGAGUCACAUCAAAGGAGGAAUUACUUACCCAGCCUACACUGAUGACAAGACAGUGCCAAAAGACAGCUUAACUCCGACAUUUGCAGCAGCUGCGCUUUUCAUUGACAAUGCAAGAUGGGAUGGAGUGCCUUUCCUUAUGAAGGCUGGCAAAGCAUUACAUAAUAAGAGGGCAGAAAUUCGUGUACAGUUCAGGCAUGUGCCUGGUAACUUGUACAAUCGGAACUUUGGAACAGAUCUUGAUCGAGGUACAAAUGAGCUUGUAAUCCGAGUACAACCAGAUGAAGCUAUUUAUUUGAAGAUUAAUAACAAGGUCCCUGGCUUGGGAAUGCGAUUGGACCAUAGCAAUUUAAAUCUUCACUAUGCUGCAAGAUAUUCUAAGGAGAUUCCAGACGCAUACGAGAGGCUCUUGCUAGAUGCCAUUGAAGGGGAAAGAAGGUUAUUUAUCAGAAGUGAUGAACUGGAUGCCGCUUGGUCACUGUUUACUCCUGUUCUGAAGGAGCUUGAAGAGAAAAAGAUUAUUCCUGAGUACUAUCCAUAUGGUAGUCGGGGACCUGUUGGGGCUCACUAUCUUGCAGCAAGAUACAACGUCAGAUGGGGAGACCUUGGGAUAGAACCGUAAAUCUGGGAAUGUUGUUUAACCCUUGCCAUUGAAGUAGGAUAGGUAGAGCAGAGAGCUUCAUUUCAUAUAUGUUUUAUUAGGACGAUUAGAUAGCGAACUCCCAUAUACGAACUCCAUGACAGCAUGCCUUGGUGUAAACAAGUGGAAUGUAUCAAGGGACGCAGGGAUUAUCCUUUUCACUUUUUGAGUUACAAUACACUCUUGUGGUUGAUGGUAUAUUUCAAGAAAUACACCACUUUUUUAUGGAGUGCAGUUGACUCUUACUAUGACUCAAAUUUCAGUAUUACUGAGCUAAUUAAUAGACUUAAA
This 2068-nucleotide unclassified non-coding RNA is filed under the name Hevea brasiliensis (rubber tree). The record is from RNAcentral. Lineage: Eukaryota; Viridiplantae; Streptophyta; Magnoliopsida; Malpighiales; Euphorbiaceae.